CUUGCAUCACAUUCAUAGGUGCAUCCAAAGUCUUUCACAGGCAUCUGUCCCGUCUUUUCCUGUUCUCAGCAUGCUUUGCCAUCAUCGUUGAGUCCAUUAUUAGGAUUUGUAAUUGUCCAAUCACAUCUUUCUCAUGUAUAAUCGGUUUUUGGAAUGAUCUCAAUAGGUUCCUUGUGAAAUACCAGUGUAGGUCACAUUAGCAAUCAUUUCACUGUGAGCUAUGUGUCUCUUUUGAGAUAGUUCUUGGAGGUAGUCCUCACGAUCAAAG
Non-coding RNA from Pelobates cultripes (western spadefoot toad), 268 nucleotides. The record is from the annotation of a GenBank genome assembly. NCBI's taxonomy places the organism in Eukaryota, Metazoa, Chordata, Amphibia, Anura, Pelobatidae.